RNAcentral lists this long non-coding RNA (1036 nucleotides) under Gossypium barbadense (sea-island cotton). RNAcentral describes it as "long non-coding RNA (GBAR_LNC021317)". Lineage: Eukaryota; Viridiplantae; Streptophyta; Magnoliopsida; Malvales; Malvaceae. The record is from RNAcentral.
AAAAACUUGAUUAAACACAUCGCAAAAUGGGGAGGGCUAGAUGCGAAAUUUCCCCACUCAGGGCCAGAACGCGCGGAUCCCCCCUCCGGGUCGGGUCGACGCGCGGGUCAUGGCACCCUAAACGGCGCCGUUUCGUCUUGUUUUAAAAACUCCUAAAUCUGACUUUCUUUGAUUUGAAACUGGAAAGAAAAAAAAAACCCUAGGGGUUUUGUUUUCUCCCCCGAGCCGCUUCCAGUCGAUCCGGCCGAUCCGAAUCUCGGCCCCAAAUCCGGCUCCGAUUAAGACGAAGCAGACAUGGUUUUCAAUGGCGCAACCACGUAGGUAAUAUUCCUUUUUUUUAUUUUUUUUUGUUUAACACACAAAAAUCGGUAAAUAAAUUAAGCAAACAAAGAAGAGAAAACAAAACUAAGAAGAACGUUACCUCUUUUAUUUCACUCUUUUUUCGAUUUUCAGUAUUCCCCCCCCCCCCUAUUUACAUAUUGAAGUUGGCCUUUUAUAGCCAAAAUGGAAAUGAAAAGUUCUCUUUGUUGUGUUUUUGUUGCUGCAGGUAAUGCGUGCGGGGAAGGCGCGAGAUUCGUGGCGACGAGGAGCGCGAUGUGCGGGCGCGACGCGCGGGAGUAGUUGCAGCACCAGUUACUGCGGCGCUGAAGCAGAAGCUUGUUUAGGGUUUCUGCAAUUUUGAUGUUUUUUGGGCUAGGGUCUGAAAAUUAGUUGUUGAGCCUGUUAAUGGUUUGGGCCCGGGCAUUAUUGGGUUUUUACAAUUCCUCAAUUAUUUGGAUUAGAUUUAGAUUGAAAAACAAUCGACACUUGAUUUGAUUGUUUAAAUUUAUAAUAUUUAACUUGAGUGUGAAUGAAUUUUUUACUUAAUUAAAAUUUUAAAAUAGUAAGCUCGAGUCUUUUUUUUAAUUAUGUUUAUAUCAUGUAUAAAUUUUGUUCAAAUUUAUUUUGAUUUAAUUCUCAUACUAUAUAUUCUUAAUUAAAUUCGGAAUAUAUUCUGUUUAUCAAUUUAAUUAUACAUCGUAACAAUGGAUUUGGA